This is an RNA transcript of Zingiber officinale, 3406 nucleotides long. It is a transcript of the gene named putative pentatricopeptide repeat-containing protein At3g16890, mitochondrial, with no coding region annotated. NCBI's taxonomy places the organism in Eukaryota, Viridiplantae, Streptophyta, Magnoliopsida, Zingiberales, Zingiberaceae. The record is from RefSeq and is a predicted model, not a curated record. The transcript has 2 exons.
GAUCUUUUUUAGUUUUACCUAAUAGUAACGACCGCCUCCGAGUCAUGCCGCCGCCGCCCACCGGAAGCGUUCCUCGCUGCCGCCACCACCUCCUCAGCUCAUGAGACGAGCGCCCCCUCCUCUUCUACGCCUCCGCAGCUCUUAUUUCGCCACCUUGUUUUCCACCCAGAAGGCCCAUCUCGAUCCGACGCACCCCGCCGUCGACGGCCCCUGCGAAUACCAGCGCGGCCAUACUCGCCAUCACUCCCGACUCUCGCCUCCAAAAUAUGAAAGUAUUGACGGCAUCGGUGGAUUCGGCUCCACUCCGGAAUCAAAACCGCUCAUUUCCAGCGGAAUUACGCAGCAGGCGACCUCGGCGAAGCCCCUCGACCACGUCCGCCUCGCCUCGGUUCUUUCGCAGAAAGACCCCCUCUUGGCGCUCGAUUCUGAGCUGCGACGCUACGAACCUUCUUUGAGCCCUCGGAUAAUUGUAAGUCUGCUGCAAAAUCUCCAAAAUCCUUUGUUUUGCUUCAGGCUGUACAUUUGGGCCGCCAAUUUCGACGCGAAAUUAGCGGCGCAUCCCUCGGUGCGUAGGGUGUUGGGCGAUGUGCUAUGGAGGAAAGGUCCAAUUAUUCUGACGGCGGAUUUGAUGAAGGAGGUUAGGGUUUCCGGGUAUCGCCUCACAGAAGAUGUUCUCUGCAUGCUUUUCUCGAGCUGGGGGAGAUUAGGGCUCGCCAAGUAUGCAAAUGAAAUCUUUGGGCAGUUGCCAGUGCUUGGUCUCCGACCGACAACGCGGCUCUACAACUCAAUGAUCGAAGCUUUGGUCAGGGCAAACUCACUUGAUCUUGCUUACUUCAAAUUCCAACAGAUGCCUUCUGACAACUGCUCGCCCGAUCGGUUCACAUACAAUGCUCUCAUCCACGGAGUCUGCAAACGUGGUAUCGUAGACGAAGCUCUUCGGUUGCUGAAGCAAAUGGAGUGUUCAGGUUGCCCACCCAAUGUGUUCACAUACACAAUGCUGGUAGAUGGCUUCUGUAAUGCCAAGAAAGUUGCCGAGGCAUGUCAGGUGCUCGAGACAAUGAAACAGCGGAAAGUCAGUCCGAACGAAGCCACAUUCCGAGCAUUGAUUCAUGGUACAUUCCGAUGUAUUGGAUCCAGCAAAGCAUACAAAACUUUAAGCAGGUACUUUGAAAAGGCAAAUCUGAUGGAUGAACAAGUUUGUAGCACGAUGCUGCAUUGCCUCUCGACGAACAAUAUGGCACUUGAGGCUACCGAAUUCUUGAACAAAAUGGGUGAAAGAGGGAAAUGUGCAGACACCUUAACUUUCGGUGUUGUUGUGGCAUGUGCUUUGAAGAGCUUGAGAUUGUCUCAAGUGUGUGAAAUGUUGAAUAGUUAUGUCGAAAGAGGUGGGAAGCCGGGAUUCAGUACAUAUCUUAUCGUCGUCAAGGGUUUGUUAGAGGAGAAGCAUGUGGUGGAGGCUAGUCAAUACCUGAGGAAGAUGAUCUUAGAUGGAUAUCUGUCUAGUGUGGAAUCAUACAAUACCUUGAUUGAUUGCUUCGUGAAAUUAGGAAUGUUGGAUAAUGCAAUAGAAAUUUUAGAGCAGAUGCGCAAUCAGGGUUUUCAUCCGAAUCUCAUUACUUUCAACACAUUGAUCAGUGGAUUUUCCAAGACUGGUGAUUCAAGUAAGGCAAGAAGUAUCCUAGUGAAGCUUUUGGAGCAUGGACUUAAGCCCGAUGUCGUUACAUUUAGUGCUUUAAUCGACGGGCUUUGCCAAGCGCACCGCAUAGAUGAUGCUUUCAAUUGUUUCAACGAGAUGGUAGAGUGGGGUAUCUCCCCAAAUGCUAUCACUUACAAUACGCUGAUACGUUCACUUUGCGCGGUUGGAAAUAUCGACAAGUCAAUGAAGCUAUUCCAAAGGAUGAGAUCGGAAGGCAUUGAUCCUGAUAUCUUCUCUUACAAUCCCCUCAUUUUGAGUCUCUGCAGGAUCGAAAAGUUUGAGAGAGCACAGCACCUCUUCAGUGCUAUGUUGAGAUUUGGAGUUGUUCCUGAUGCGAACACCUAUGCUUCUUUCAUUAAAGCCUUGUGUGAUGCAGGGAGAAUCGAAGGCGCUAAAGAGGCAAUGCGCGUGAUGGAACUUCAUAGUAUUUCUCCAAAUUCUCAGUCGUAUAGCUUAGUUGCUGAUACCCUUAUUCGUAUAGGCAAGCCAGCAGAAGCUGAGGAAUUCAUUAGGAAAUGUAAAAGGAAAGGAAUUCGCAUAAGUUCUUCCUCUCCUUUGCCAGAAAAAGAACCUUGAAAAUUUUGACAGGUUUGUUUUUAACAUUUCAAUUAAUAGUUGAAGUUCUUUAACCCUAAAUGAUAGCUUUGGGUUUCGGUAUCAUUCCCAUGUGAAGAAGACAUAACAAACCUAUCUAUCACAUUCGAGUACUCGAAACACCUCUUCGAAAUGUUUGCAAGGGUAUGAAUAUAUACUCCAGCGAUGAUUCAAGGAUCGGAGACACGACUCUUCACGAUCUACGUGAGUGGAUUCCGUUAGGAACAAUGGAAGUACUCCAUGGUUUAGCAAAACUCAUCACGGUAGGUCGGUGAUAGAGGCGACCGAUUUGCCGGACAUCUGACUACUCCGACCGAUCAAUCGGUCAAGGAAUUGAACCUUAGUAACAUAAAUGGACCGAUGGAUCUUAACUGGGCCGAGAUUCAGGUGCACUUGGCCGGCCCAUUACCAUUUUUCCCUGUCCAAGUAAAUGUUACGAAGGAUCUUCAUUCCUUCAAAUUCCUUCCUUUUUCAACUUCUUCAGUCCUUCCCUCCUUAAAUUAAAUCCGCACCUUUUCCGCUGCCUCUCCUCUGUGAUCGGCUAGGGUUUCCAGCAAUGGCGAAGCGGCAGUCCCUUCCAUGGUGGCUCAACGGCUGCAGUAACCCUAGAAGCUCCCCCUGGCUCCAAUCCGUGCUUCUAGUGUUAAAUCAAUAACCAGAGCUAGACAAGAAGACGAAGGCGAUCCUAGAACUGAUCGAAGAAGAAGCCGAGUCUUUCCUACAGAGUGCAGAACGGUACGCCAAGAAGAGACCAGAGCUCAUACACAUGAUUGAGGAUUUCCACUUAGCAAACAAAUUGUUGGCUCAGCGAUAUGAUCGACUCAAGUCAGAAAUGAAAAACCAUCACAAUGUGGAUCUUACACUCCCGAUGUCGAGCGGGUGCUACAUAGGUAAGUUAAUUGAGCAUAUCUAUGUAGCACAAGCAUUGGGCACAUACGACGGUGGUGAAUCUGAAGUGUCAGAUGCGGAAGAGGUGAUGGAGAAUGGAGUUGAAGACAGUGAGGCGAUGAAUGGAGAGGUUGAAUGGUUGAAGCUGGAUAACCAGAUGCUAAUGGACGAAGAACCCCAAUCUUGCUCACCAUUGUGUAUGUAUAGUAGUGAAGAAUCUGAAUUGUG